This 434-nucleotide ribosomal RNA is filed under the name uncultured Clostridium sp. RNAcentral's name for it is "partial 16S ribosomal RNA". It matches the Rfam family "Bacterial small subunit ribosomal RNA", at positions 341 to 792 of the family's 1533-position model. Lineage: Bacteria; Bacillati; Bacillota; Clostridia; Eubacteriales; Clostridiaceae. The record is from RNAcentral.
ACGGAAGGCAGCAGUGGGGAAUAUUGCACAAUGGGCGAAAGCCUGAUGUAGCGACGCCGCGUGAGUGAAGAAGUUAUUCGUAAUGUAAAGCUCUAUCAGCAGGGAAGAAAAUGACGGUACCUGACUAAGAAGCCCCGGCUAACUACGUGCCAGCAGCCGCGGUAAUACGUAGGGGGCAAGCGUUAUCCGGAUUUACUGGGUGUAAAGGGAGCGUAGACGGCAAAGCAAGUCUGAAGUGAAAUCCCGGGGCUCAACCCUGGAACUGCUUUGGAAACUGUUUAGCUAGAGUGCAGGAGAGGUAAGUGGAAUUCCUAGUGUAGCGGUGAAAUGCGUAGAUAUUAGGAGGAACACCAGUGGCGAAGGCGGCUUACUGGACUGUAACUGACGUUGAGGCUCGAAAGCGUGGGGAGCAAACAGGAUUAGAUACCCUGGUA